This 108-nucleotide ribosomal RNA is filed under the name uncultured eukaryote. RNAcentral describes it as "partial small subunit ribosomal RNA". It matches the Rfam family "Eukaryotic small subunit ribosomal RNA", at positions 1676 to 1785 of the family's 1831-position model. The record is from RNAcentral.
UCGCUACUACCGAUUGAAUGGCUUAGUGAGGCCUUCGGAGCGCCGGCGCGGGCAGCAAUGCCUGCGCUGGUGCAAAGUCGUACAAACUUGGUCAUUUAGAGGAAGUAA